This is a long non-coding RNA of Sinocyclocheilus anshuiensis, 2364 nucleotides long. Ensembl lists it as uncharacterized. The record is from Ensembl. NCBI's taxonomy places the organism in Eukaryota, Metazoa, Chordata, Actinopteri, Cypriniformes, Cyprinidae.
UUUCUAAAGUAAUGUAAGCCAACAUGUUUACAGCUACUUUUAAUGUUUUGUGUUUGACUCAGAAUCGUGCGAAUCUCAGCCCUGUUGUGCAGCACUGAUUGCAGUUGCAGUUGUAACAGCAAUAACACUUAUGGCUGGGUUCAUUGUCAUGAAGAAAUGCAAGAACAAUGCCAUCCUUUAGCCAAUACUGUACACUCACAGACAACAUUUGAUUUUUUUAUUGUAACAAUUUUGGUUUAAUUUAUUUUACUUAUGUUCUAUUUUACGUCAUAUGCUUUUCCCUCUUUUUUUAUGACUUUUAAUGGUGAACUUUUAUUAGAAUUGCAGAUAUGCUGUUCCUGCAUAUAUGUGACUCUCAAACAGUUUUCAGCUUCCAGGUUUAAAUGUUCUCAGGGUAGCAUGUUUUCUGACUAUCUAAACUUUAUUAGCUGUUUCUCUGCAGUUUUUCCGUUUGGUAGAUUUGAUAAAGUUCUUGUUUUAUGUCAAAAGAAUGUUCUUGUGUUCAUCGUAAAGAAUGAGUGCUUCUGAAACUUUAGAAAUGUGAGUUGUUAAAAUGGCUCCUAUGGAUAUUUAAGAUAUAAGCUGUUUUGUUUACAAAAAAUGAAUAUAAGUGCUAUUAAUUUGCUCUCUACCUCAUUUGUUCUUAUUAAUCUGCUUUUGGAGCAUUUGUAAGCACUGAUGUUUAAAUUUGUUCAGAGAAUAAGAGUCCAAACGGAUCUUGAGCGUGGAGUGUGACGGGAGGGUUUUACUGUAUGGAAGAUCUGCUUGUUUGAACAGAGAAUAGUGGCUUUACUCCACAGGAAAGGGAAAAAGGAAACGGCUCAGUUUGCAAACACGGUGACGCCUAAAGACCUUUAACUCUGUGAACUGAGCACAGGAGUUCACAGAAUACAGCAGCCCUGCAGAGACACAAACAGCACGUUUACUGUGGGAGCGUCGCUCUAGUGCUUUUAUGGGACAGGAGUUUCUGGAUACAAGCGUCUCUUUCAGGAAGUUAUGAGAGGUGACAUGGAACUACGACUAGAGCGAUUCAUCAGGACUGUUCUGCUUCUGCACGUCUGCUGGCUCUGGAGCGGCCAGUGUUUGUCCGUCCUCUUCACAAACCAGCAGUUGCUGUAUGUAAUCAAAGGCCAGAAUCUGAUCCUACAGGCACAAAUCGAGCUGCUGGGUGGUGAACAUGUUGUUAAAGUGACAUGGGACCACGUUGCAAAGACUUCUGGGACGAGUUCAACAUUGGCUGAGUUUCCUCAUAAAGUCUCAGAUGGGAGAGUAACACUGGAACAACAGGGAGCCACACUGAAGAUCAGAGAUUAUCAAGCAGCAGACGCCGGCGUCUACACGGUCACAGUUACAGACCAGUCAGGACAGAGACGAUCUGCACAGCGAGCCGUUCAAGAGUAUCUGGCGGUGCAUCACGUGUCGGUGAUGGUGAAUGUGUCUCACUCGGUUCUUCACUGUAUGGAGGCGUGGGGAACUGAACCCACAUUCACUUGGCUGCAUGAGAAAGUGGUUGUAACGGAGAAAGUGGGUCGUGUUUCGGCACAUGGGACGUCUCUGUACGUCUCCGGCACCUUCUGCGGACACUUCACCUGCGUGGUGAGCAACAAACUGGGACACAGUUCAGCCACAUACACCGCAGGAGACACAGGCGUGGAUAUAACCGAAGGGAGAGGCUGAGAGAGCCGUGUGAAGAGUCUCUGUGAGCUGAUCUCAGGACACUUUUACUGCGUUACUGACGAGAGCUGAUGGACUGCCAGUCGCUUGACGCUUUCAGCACACCUUUUGAUACUUUAUUGAUCAAUGUAUUAGACUUUUGUUAUUUUAUUAGACUUCCUGGAAAGAUAGUUAUGCAUAUUUCUUUAACCAAGUUAGACUAGCAUCAUCAGGAGGAUUAGUUAAUGCAAUCCUUUCUGAAAUACUUGAUUCUGAUUGGUCAGUUAUGGCAUUCUGACAUUAAUAUGAUGGCCACUAAACUAUUAAUUGACCAUUGUCCCAUAUCAAUAAAUUAACAUUUGACUGAGUAAUUUUUCGUGAUUUAUUUAUUUUUAUAAUCUGCUCAAAUCUUAAAUUUAUUUGGCAAGAAGUCAUGUAAAAAUGGAAAAACUCAUGAUCAAGGAGUCUACACAUAACAAUUUCUUAAUUUUCUGCCCCCAAUUUUGUCCCACAUUUUAGAUUAAUCCGCCCCUAAAUGUCACAUAUAACAGUGACUGGUCACUUUGUCAAUUAGACGGUCUAUUCCGCUCUAAGUUUCCAGUUUUGACCACAAUAAUACAAUUAUUUUUAUUCAAGAAUAAAUUACAACUAAAUAGAAAUAAAAAUUACUACAACUUCAAUUAAAAUUAAAACUGAAAAUAUAAAAAAGCC